GAUGAACGCUGGCGGCGUGCUUAACACAUGCAAGUCGAACGAAGCACCUUGAUUUGCUUCUUCGGAUGAAGAUCUUGGUGACUGAGUGGCGGACGUGUGAGUAACGCGUGGGUAACCUGCCUCAUACAGGGGGAUAACAGUUAGAAAUGACUGCUAAUACCGCAUAAGACCACAGCACCGCAUGGUGCAGGGGUAAAAACUCCGGUGGUAUGAGAUGGACCCGCGUCUGAUUAGGUAGUUGGUGGGGUAACGGCCUACCAAGCCGACGAUCAGUAGCCGACCUGAGAGGGUGACCGGCCACAUUGGGACUGAGACACGGCCCAAACUCCUACGGGAGGCAGCAGUGGGGAAUAUUGCACAAUGGGGGAAACCCUGAUGCAGCGACGCCGCGUGAGCGAUGAAGUAUUUCGGUAUGUAAAGCUCUAUCAGCAGGGAAGAAAAUGACGGUACCUGACUAAGAAGCACCGGCUAAAUACGUG
Molecule: ribosomal RNA, 479 nt
Filed under: uncultured bacterium
Lineage: Bacteria
Description: partial 16S ribosomal RNA
Rfam family: Bacterial small subunit ribosomal RNA
Source: RNAcentral